AAAGAGUGACAGAGACCUUGGGAAGGAGAAGAGACGAGGAAAGCGGAGAGGACGGUGACUU
RNAcentral lists this small RNA (61 nucleotides) under Arabidopsis thaliana (thale cress). RNAcentral describes it as "ATSL000530". Lineage: Eukaryota; Viridiplantae; Streptophyta; Magnoliopsida; Brassicales; Brassicaceae. The record is from RNAcentral.